GACGAACGCUGGCGGCGUGCUUAACACAUGCAAGUCGAACGGAAAGGCCCUGCUUUUGUGGGGUGCUCGAGUGGCGAACGGGUGAGUAACACGUGAGUAACCUGCCCUUGACUUUGGGAUAACUUCAGGAAACUGGGGCUAAUACCGGAUAGGAGCUCCUGCUGCAUGGUGGGGGUUGGAAAGUUUCGGCGGUUGGGGAUGGACUCGCGGCUUAUCAGCUUGUUGGUGGGGUAGUGGCUUACCAAGGCUUUGACGGGUAGCCGGCCUGAGAGGGUGACCGGCCACAAUGGGACUGAGAUACGGCGCAGACGCGUACGGGAGGCAGCAGUGGGGAAUAUUGCACAAUGGGCGGAAGCCUGAUGCAGCAACGCCGCGUGCGGGAUGACGGCCUUCGGGUUGUAAACCGCUUUCGCCUGUGACGAAGCGUGAGUGACGGUAAUGGGUAAAGAAGCACCGGCUAACUACGUG
This 468-nucleotide ribosomal RNA is filed under the name uncultured bacterium. RNAcentral's name for it is "partial 16S ribosomal RNA". It matches the Rfam family "Bacterial small subunit ribosomal RNA", at positions 28 to 507 of the family's 1533-position model. The record is from RNAcentral.